Molecule: long non-coding RNA, 533 nt
Organism: Antechinus flavipes (yellow-footed antechinus)
Lineage: Eukaryota; Metazoa; Chordata; Mammalia; Dasyuromorphia; Dasyuridae
Exons: 3
Source: RefSeq, a predicted model, not a curated record
UCUAAAGAGGCCAUGCUGAGAGCAGGGCUAAAAAAAGACCUACUACUCACCAGUGGCCAGCCUGAGCUGGACCUUUCAGACAGGCACUUUCCCAGGCCUGCCUCCCAGCCUUCCUUCUCAAUAAAUGAGCCCAACUACAGGAGAUCUGAGGUCCCUUCUCAUUCUAGUCUAUGAUGGCUGUGUGGACCAUUGUCACAACUGUCGGCAAGCUACAUCAUGGAUUAGCAAAAUUCCCUGAUUCAGGAGAGAAGGUGGGGGAAGAGAAGGAAAAAACUUUGGACCAUAAGAUUUUGCAGGGGGAAUAUUGACAACUAUCUUUGUAUGUAUUUUGAGAAUAAAAAGCUAUUAUUUUAAAAAAUUCUUUUUAUUUGUUUCAUUAAACAUUUCCCAAUUACAUGAUGUAAUUUUUUUGGUGCCAAUUCUUUCUUUCCCUCGUAGUCCCCCCCCCCCUUGAGAAGACAGACAAUAUAUAGAUUAUGCAAAGCAUAUUUCCAUAUUAGCUAUGUUGUGCAAGAAAACACACUGAAAAAGGA